GGAGUCAGUGUGGUUUUACGAAAAGCAGCCUUGGAGGCAGCUAGACCUGAAUUUGAAUCUCAGCUCUGCCGCCUCAGCUGUGCCGCCUUGAACACGUCACUUCUCUGAACCUUGAUUUCUUCAGCCAUAAAAUGGGCUGAGUGCCAGGAAAUGACAAGGACAACCUUGGAGGCCACAUGAUGAAGACAGCAGAACUUCUGUUAGCCUGGGUGCCCAGGGGUGGAGAGCUGCUCUUGAAAACUGAGAACAUUUGCUUUGGGCUGUUUUAUAACCCCCCAAAACAACAACAACAACAACAACAACAACAACAACAACAACAAGUGGAAUAGAAGUAUCUUACACAUCAGGAUGGAAUCCAGCACAGGCUUUGUUUUGUUUUGGUUCUGAGAAGGUCAUAGCCCUCAGAAGGCUCUGGUCACACAGCACAGCAAUAUUCAAGGGGAGUCUUCCUGCAGAGGAGACCCCAGAGAGCUCCCUUGCCCCUCUGCCAUGUGAGGACCAGAGAAAAGACAGGCAUGGGUGACCAGGAAGAGGGCUCUUACCAGACGCUGAAUCUGUUGGCAUCUUGACCUUGGACCUCCGGCCUCCAGAACUGCAGCAGUGGGCAAGGGGAACCUAUGGCUGUUUAUAAGGAGGGCGGUCCUUCUCCAGCCCUCCCCAGAUCUGGAAACAGGAUGCACAUGACCUAGAAGUACACUGUGCGGGACAACCGUGAAUGUGGCAGGGUGCCGCUAUAAGAGAAGGACGGUAUUAAUCCCCUUUAGAAGAAGUGGCCCAGUUUGGACCAUACGUCAUACGCUCACUCUGUCUAUAGCGAGAGAUGAGGCUUCAAGGAAAGCUUGCAGCAGGAUUAAGGGAAGGAGGCCAAAGAAUUUGGAUUUGAGUCUCUUGGCUCAGGUCUCCUCCUCCACUGUCUGCAGGGCCUUGGUGUGAGCAAGCAAACGAAGCCCCAGAGUGGCAGACGCUGCGACCCCCAGCUCUGGUCAGGAGCUGCUGUGUAAACGUGUGCACUUGGGUUCUUAGUUUAGCUUCUCCAAAGGGAGAGAACCAGUGAGAUGUAUAUAGAUACAGACAAGAGGAGAUUAUAGGAAUUGGCUCAUGUGUUAUGGAGACGGAGAAGCCUGUCGAAAGCUGGUGGUAUAAUUCAGUCUGAGUCUGAAGCCUAAGAAUAGGGCUGGGGUGGGGCAAUGGUGUAUAUCCCAGUUUAAGUCUGAAACUCAGAGGACCAGGAGCAUUGAUGUCUGAGCGUGGGAGAAGAUGGAUGUCUCUCAAGCAGGGAGAAUGAUUUUGCCCAUCCUCCACCUUCUUGUUCUGUCAGGCUCUCAACAGAUUGGAUGGUGCCCACCCAGAUUGGUGAGGGAGAUCGUCUUUACUCAGUCUACCAACUGAAAUGCUAAUCUCUUUUGGAAACACCCUCACAGACGCAUCCAGAAAUAAUGUCUAACCAGCUAUCUGGGCAUCUCUUAGCCCAGUCAAGUUAACACAUAAAAUUAACCAUCACACUUGGGCUUGCCAGAUUUCCUGGUGUUUGAGACAAGCCAGAAAUCUUAAUUUUUAUGUGCAACUCCUGAUUUUAAAAUAUUGGUUCAAAAUUUUGAAAACAGUGUCAGUUGCACAAAACCUGUCUGUAUACUGUGACUGGCCUGAGGCCACCAGUCUGCCCCGUUGCUAGGAAGUGGGGGUCUGGGGAAGAUUUCCAAGGAAGGGGGCAGCUUGGUUAGAGCUGAAGAUCGCUAGGACCUUGAUGUCAAGGAGGCAUCAGGUCAGAUGAAGGUAGAGGCGGGGCUUGUGAUUGGGAGCUUCUUGCCAUUGUCCAGGUGGGCCACAAGGCAGACCUGAACAAGGCUGGGGCAUUGAGGGUGCAGAUGAAGACCAAAUGCUAGACAUGUUGCAGGGACCUGGAAGGUCUGGGCCUGAGAGGUUGGGUCAAGGAGGGUGCAGUAAAGUGAGACUGAGGCCCCCAGCAGGUCUGUGGGUUUCACACAUAGAUGUAACAGUCUCCACAGUAGGCCAGAGGGUCCAGGAACACAAACCCCAUGAGGCUUUGCUUCUUCCUUGGAGAUCCUGCUUGGAAUUCAGCAUCAUCUUUGAUGAGAGAGGAACAUGGUGUAAGUGCUGGUAACCAGCUCCUCUGGCUAGGGAAGCCCAACCCCUUGGGGGCUGAAUCAGUGGCUGAGCCUUCUCAAAGUGUGGAACAUGGUUAAGUCCUGGGGAGGUGCACUGACUUCUCAGCCAGCCUCUGGUGGUAUGCAAGAAAUCCAUCAUAAGCUUGGUUAGCUCAUUUGGCGGACCUAUGCUAAUUCUGUGUCAUCACCAGUAGCAUUUAUGGUUCAUAAGAGACUUUUUUUUUUUUUUCAAGAGCAUGUAUUUCAGAUAGCUGCAAACACAACCAUUUCCUCACUGAGCUGCUUCCUGCUUCAGGAGCAUGACUCUCUGAUUCCGGAAGCUGAGUAGGAAUCUGAGCUGUUGUAAUCAGGGGUGGACUUUCAUGCUGGGGUGUUAACCAGGGUGCAGGUCAGCAAAGCCAAAGCCAUAUAGAUGAUAUGCAGAUGAUAAGUAAUUCUCACAGGGGCCCUGUGCAGUGGAUCUGAUAUUAUCCCCAUACUAUAAAUGAGGAGACUGAGGUUCCCAGGGGAGAGGAGAGAUAAGACAACAAAACAGAGAAAAAAGCCAAAUCAAGUAUCAAUCAAAUUGCGACCUACUGUGGACAGGAUGUGCUUAACCACUAGACUGUACUGUCUGUGAGUGCGUGAAGGACUCUAUGAAGAAUAAGGGGGACAGAAGCAAGAUUAGGCAGAGAGGCUUUGGGAGAUGUAGACAGAAAAAGGAAGAAGUGGGUAGGAAGACUCUCAGCCUGUAGCACAAUGCUGAGUAAGUCUGGGUGAGGCUAGCUAGGCCCCCACUGGUCCCCAGCUAGUAUCCUAGAAAGGUUGCCCAUUGCAAGAGUCCCCUGGCAGGAGUGGCCCAGCCCUAGCACCCUGCUGCACUUGGCCUUGAGUUGGGAGCCACCCUGGGAAGUGCAACAUUGGUACAGAUGUGGUGGAGGGUCCCCAGGGUGGCAGUGGGGCUGUCAGUCAUCUGCUCUUCACAGCAGGUUCUCCCGAAGGAGGUUUGAGCGGUCCCCUCCACAGCCACCAUAGGCCCCACCCAUGCUCGCUCCCUAAUACUCACACACACUGCAAAGAGCCCACAUGUGGCAGAGCCCAGAUGGACAGGGGAGAACAUUCUAAUUUCAAGUCAGGAUUCAAAUUUUGGUUAUUGCAUGAGAUCUGACCAUUGUAAGUGCUGAACUGGGACUGUUUGCAUUUUAAAGUGACUGCAGGACUUUUUAUUACCUUUGAGUGACCAAAAGGACUGUGCAGACUAUUUCAGUUUUCAUGCACGAAGGGCCACCCCCACUGAGGAAGUGGAAAUGAACUAUGGGAUUCAAAGUAAAAAUACCUUUAUGACACCAUUUCCUGAGUCCUGCUCGUUCAAUGUCGUGGUUACACUAUAAAGUGCUUAGAGCAGUGGCCGGUUACAGUAACCACUAAGUAAUAGAGAUUCAGGCAACCUUGAGGUCCUAGAAAGGAGAGAGAGGAGACUGGGGACAGGAAAGGAAGGGGGAAUACAGAAAGGACAGUGGCAGAUGUGUCAGGGUGGAUAUCCAGCCCCAUUACUAGAAGUUGAGCUCUAGUGGUGCCUUGCCCACGCAUGAGGGCUGUGAGGGGCCUGGAGCUGAGAGGGGAUCACUGGACAUACAUCUCUGCAAUUAAUUAAUCCAUAAAGCCACUGUGUUUGGAGGAGGACAAAGAGGCACUUCUGUUCUGCCGGCUGGAGCCCAUCUCUCUGGGGAGCGUGUGUUCUUCCCUGGAGGAGUGAGUAUGUCUUUAUGUUAUUGGCCUUAAAACAUCAACUGUCUCUACUGAGCCUAACCUGUCACUACGAAGGGAUCAGUCCAAGUGAAAAACUCAUUCUUAUUCUUAAGAUGCUGAAAAUAUAGUUGGAGAAAAAAGACAUGUGAAUAGAAAAUUGAUAAUAAAGUCUUAGUAAAAGCUCAAAGUAAAAGCUCCAGGUGAUCAGGAAGAGCUAGCAUCAGGGCAUUGCAGCCUUACCUGCCAGAUGACUGCUUCAGGCCAGAAUCACUAUAGUUCAGGGCAAGGAGACUGGUGGACUUGGAAUUGAUCACACAGUGACCCCAGCCACAGUACUUAACCACUGUGAGCUCCCAUUUCCUAACCUGUCAGGGAGCAAAGGAAUAUGGGAGAAUAGAAUGAUACUGUGCUGGUGAAAACACACUGUAAGUGCAACUGUUAAUUUUCUUUCUUCCUUUCAGAUGACUGGGGUGGAGAAAAGUCAGGGCUAAUGGGGCCUGAGCUGAGACUUGCAGUAAGAGGAGGAUUUGGUGUCUGUAUCAUCACAGGUAGAUUAUAGUACUGAAAAGCCUGGGGGAGGGGAAGUUCAAGGUGCUUUGGUUAACAGUGACCUGAGAGAGUGACUGGUUGGGGGUAAGGGACAUAAAGAUGGGUGGAAAGGCAAGUUGAAAUUGUGGGGUCCUUGAGUUUCAGGAUCAUUGUAAUAGCAAUGAUCAUUUAGUUGGUGUUAUGGGCUGAAUUGUGUCCCCUGAAAUUCAUUUGCUGAAGUCCCUCCUAGUACCUCUGAAUGUGACUGUAUUUGGAGACUGGGGUGUCACAGAGGUGAUUAAGGUAAAAUGAGGUUGUUGGGGUAGACUCUAAUCCAGCAUGACCAGGGUCCUUAAAAGCAGAGGAGAUUUGGACAGAGAUAAAUGCAGAGGGAAGAUGACGUGAAGACACCGGGGAAGAUGGCCAUCUACAAGCCGAGAAGAAAGAUCUGGAACAGAUUUUCCCCCACAGCCCUCUGAAGGAACCAACCCUGCUGACACCUUGAUUUCAGGCUUCCAGCCUCCAGAACUGCCAUGGCUAACACAGUGGGCUCCUUGAAGAUGUCCCUGCCUGAAGCACUGAGGACCCUCCACCAAAUUCAGAAGCAGCCUCUCUUCCUCCACCUCCUGUGGUCGUGCUGGCCUCACCAGGGUGAGAUGGCACAGGACUGACGAGGAGAGAGGUCCGGGCACUCCAGGACUCAGUUCCAAUCUGGACUCUGCUCAUGGCCUCGGAGGCGUCAAUACCAAAUAUUCAGUGAUUCAGCAAACAUGUAUUGAAUACCUAAUAUUUGCUGGCAAUGUGCAGUGCUCUAGGAUACAAAAAUUUCUUUAAACAAUGAUAUUUUAAUAAAAUAAGACAUGCAGAAUUCUAGCUAAGCUAAACAUAUGAAUAUUUCCUUUUUAAAGUCAGUGAUUUACCUGGUAUCUUUGCAGUAGACAGUUACAAAACCGAGAUACAAAUGUUGUGAGAGAGUCUAGAUUUCAGAACAAGGUCCUAGAACAGGGCUAAGCACAUCGUCGUGUUGAAUGAACACCUGCUGAGCUAACAGAGGUUGUAAGAACCGGGCAUGAUGAAAGCACCUAGGAGAGGCACCCAGCACAUGGGUGGGGCAAGGAAAGCAUCCUGGGAGAGCAACUCCUGAUGCCACUUUGCAAGAGAACCGCCCUCUAGGGAAUGUGAGGCAACAGAGCAAAAGCCACAUUCCCACGGUGCUGCCAACACUCAAAGGUAGGCUGAGGUGCCGUGGGGUCAGUACUGCACUGAUGGAAGCAGGGACAGUCUCCACUCAAACUGAAGUUUUCGCAAACAGGGCCAUUUGGCUCACACCUACCUGCUGAGGGGGCCCGUUGCUGGUAUCUUGUUUUCACUAAGUCACUAGGUGUCAUGUUUAGCAGAGACACAGCAGAAUCCAGGCCUAAAUUACCUGCUGUAUCGCCUUCCUCUAACUUCCUGAUGGAAUUCUCUUGUCAGGCAUUUGUCUUCAUCCCAGAAAAAUGAGCUUGCCGAAGGCCAACUCCAUCAACUCAAUCUUUUUCCAGAAUUCCAGUCAGGCCCAAGCUAGGAUGAUUUCAUUUUUUCACUGGUGGGAGUACAAGCGUGCUUUGGAAAAGAAUUGCUUUGGAAAAGUGGUUGGUAAUGCAUGUAGACACAUGACAGAAGAAUAUUAACUUUGAUAGUAACUGGAGCUGGGUUUGACUUUGGCCUCAACCACUCACCAGCUCUAGGGCUCUUUGUGCUGAGAAGGCUGUGGGGCCAUCACCAUUGUCUCUGAAUAUUCCAGAUGAGGAUGCUGAGCUCCAGAGAAGGACUGUGGCACCCCAAGGACACCCAGAUGACAGUACGGGUGAGGAGCUAAGCCCAUUGCCUUUCAGCCACACAACACUGUGUGGUUUAUGGGGUCCUACCCUGGAAGGGUCUGUGGUCUAAGUACCUAGGAAGUGCUGACAUUCACACGCUGAUGGUGGUGAGCAAUCAUGCCAUGUGGAUUGGUGUCUGGGGAAGUACGACAUGUCCUUCCUCUCCUCAGCCCUUCGAGACCCUGGCUUAGGCUGGGCACAUAACAGGGAGUCCAUGACUAUAUACAGGAAUGAAUGAUCCUUUGCCUCAGGAAUCUUAGAACAAUGCCAACAGCGCUAACAGUACUUUGUACAACACUUCACAGUUCUCUUAAGUGCUUCUGCAUACAUUAUCUCAUUUCAUGUACCUGCUCUCAUUUGAAAUUGUUGCAGGGUGUAAGCGUAUAAUUAAAAUAUCAAUUAAGCCAGAUUCUGAAAUAAAUCAGGCUGUGCUAGAGCAUGAAUUAAAAAAAAAACAAAAAUAAAAACAAUGACAACUCAUCAGUCUAGGACUCAUUCCCCAGGUACGACCCACAACUCACCUCCCCUCCACCCCAGCUUUGCUCCAAUUUCAUCGUCAUACUCAUUGGACCCUCAUGGGCGGUUUUCCCUGAUUUUGCUCUUAUUGUGUCCCCUGUUAGGAAUCCUCCUGCCUAAUCUGUCUGUGAAAGAAGGUCUUCUUUAAUCUUGAGAAGUCUUGGUUAUAUAUCUCCAAUUUUCUUAUAGUUUUCUUAACACCUUCUUUUGCCCUGUCCACUGCUGUAGAAUUAGCUGCUUCUCCAGACUGUGUUAUAUCCCAUCUUAUGUAGUACUGUAAUGAUUCACUUUUACUCAUCCUCUUUCAUCAGCUGUUUUAUGAUCUGUAAUGCCUGGGAUCCUAUAGGUGUUAGAUAUAUGUCUGUUACCUGAAUGAAGAGAUAAGCCUGGGGCAUUUGGUGGCCAGGUGGAAUCUCUGGUGGAUGGCAUUUAUUAAGCCUGCUGUUCUCCACAUGCCUCAGCCCAGUGCCAAAUAGAGCAGAUUCCCUGGGGGUGAGGCCAUCACUGAGGACCAAUUUAUUCUUUCAGUGCAGGCCCGUUUCUGCACGAAGCUGCUUGCCAGGUAAAGAAUAAAUCUCAAGUUUUACAACUUGUUUAUUUUCUAACCAGACUUCUCAUUAAAAAGAACAAAACAAAACAGAACACCCAAAAAAAUCCAUUCUCUUUCACAAACAAUAAAAUACCCAGGAAGGAUUAUGGAAGAUUUCAAAAAAUAAUUGCCUCUGUAGACAGUGGAUAAGGUGUGUGUAUGUGAGCACAUUAGGCAUGUGUGUGUGUGCAUGUGUGUGCAUGCACACUCACACAUAUACACUGAUGACAUGGUGUGUCUGAAGGUUAAGCAGACUGAGGUUCAAAUCCAGACUGACUGUUCACCAACUGUGUGAUCUAGGGUUUCUGUAUAACAGGGGUGAUACGACCUGCAUUGUGAGGUUGCUGUGAGGACCCAAACGGUGCAGAAGAGCCAGUGCGGUUCCCAGCUCUCAGAGACUCUCUCCGCAAAGGCAAAUUGGACUAUGAGGAUGGCCCGCAGCUUCCUGGAAAGCUCUCCAUCCCCUGGAGCCCUACGCACACACACUGGCCCAUUUUUGUGGCAUUUGGCAGUACCGCCUAUCAUCAUUUAUCUUUUCCAAUGCAUCUAUCUAUCUCCCUAACUGUGCUGGAACCACCUCAAGGGCAGGGCCAGCUCUAACACUUCUUUAUGUCUUGCAGAGGAGAUGCCUACUAGGUGGUUUGGCCCGAUGGGCCACGGUCCCAUCCGGAAGGCCCUGGGGAGAGUCUGAAUCUCCAUAGGAGUCUUCUCUGCCCUGCUUCUAGGUCUCACUUCAGACUUACUACUGGCCUGCUAGAGGGUUCCUGAUGCCAAUAGAUUAUUUCAGAAGCUGCUCUUCAGCUUUUCCUCCUGGUCAAAAGUGUGAGGAUGGGUAGCACAAUGGAACAGAGCUUCAUGGUGCCAACUCCAACACUAGGCCUUCAGGAUCGUUAAACCCUCCACCAAGAGUGUGCAGCAGAAGUGGCAGCUAUGAAAGCUUCUGGAAGUGGCCCAGGAGUGCAGGAGAAUAAAGACAGCAGAAAAGCGCGUGCCCAAGCUGGCUGACUGCCCCGCGUUGUGCUGAGGACCUAUAGCAGAUGUGAGUGCCCGGACAGCAGUAACCAGGAAAACUCCAAGGAAUAUCUCUGGGAGAGAAGCCCCCAUACCCUCUGAUGGGAUAUCAAGCUAAGUGAAAGCAGGAUGUGAAGGUGCUUUGUAGGUUGUAGAGUGUAAGAGAUUCCCUUCCUUCCUCGUUUUCUUCCUUCUUCGUCCCUCCCUCCUUUCUCCAUCUAUUGAGCAGUGGCUGGCAUUCUGCAAAGGGAUGGACACAUGAAGAUGGUCAGAACACAGGUCCUGCUCCCACAAUUCAUAGUGGAGAGGGGAGAUGAGACACACAAAAAGGGUCAUUAUUUCUUUGAUUUUAAGAUGCACUCUCAACAUAAGAGUUUCUGAGAGGAAAAAAAAUCAGAAACAGUAUCACACUAAAUGUACACGUUGUUUGCAAAACAUCCUUAUUUUAGAAACAUACGGAUGUGAAAAAAGGGUAUGUUUCAAAAUUGAGCACUUUGGGCAGAGUAGUCAGUAUCACAAUAGGAGUAGGUAGAGUGACUUAUCAGAACAUAAAAAUGUGGGGGAAAAAAAUCUCUGUCUUAAAAGUAGUAGUUACAGCAGUGUGAUCAUUGUCAUAAGAGCGGGGGUACAAGGCUCCACUGGAACCCACUGGAAGGAGAUCUGAACGCUGCCUGGGGACACCAGGUAGGGCUUCAGUGGAAGAUGGUGUUGCAGGGCCACCUUCUGGGUGAAUAAUGGUGGACAGGGGUGGGUAAAGAAGCCAGAGGAGGGGUUCUCAGGCAGGGGAGCAACGCUGGCAGAGGCAGGAGACAAAGGAGAGUGUGGUGCAUUCUGGGAACAGCUGCUUGUCAUCAUGGAGAUUGUUAAUAAUAGUGGAGGAAUAGAGGGGGCCUUCAGUCUGGAGACGCCUGGCUGCAUCUCAUCACAGAGACAACAGGGAGGGACAGGUGGGCUUCGCAGUGUAACAGAAUGAGGCGUCUCUGCUAAACUUGCCCAUCUCUUGGAAAGUUUCUGUUUUCUAUUUACAUAAGUCAUAAAUUGAUUGCCUAAUGCAAAAAUGAUGUGUUCUCAAAUAGUUAGGAAAUACAACAGAUUUCAAUCAAUAGAUUCAAAAUUCUUCAUUACAUCUGCUUGCUUAUUCCCUUAAACCUUUGCUCCAGAGGAGGUAUGCCCUUUAGAAGUGAUUGAUUAUGUUGCUCCUGUGGGCACAUGCACUUCUUACAGGUUCUUGUCUUUCUCUGUCUCCCUCUCGCUCUGUCUUUCUCUCUUUCUCUUCUUCCCCAUGGUUGUCAAGCAGCUACUCAGCUGCAACAUCAGGCAUGCAUCAAGGAAUAUAUUUUUUGUUCGAUGUGUAUGUGCACAUGAGGCUGUCUCUGAAUUGCAUCCUCACAGAAUAACCUUUGGGUGUUGAUGUGAGGAUGCUAUUAGAAGGAAAUUCAUUUAUGUUGGGCCCAGGACAGGGAGAAAGCUACCACAGUGUUGAAAGAAAGCCAAGUAAACAGUCUGGAACGUCGAGGCUGGGUAAAAGAGAUGGACGGUACUGGGUUAAUUAGGACGUUCCCCUAGACUAUGUCUCUUUAUGCUCCUAGGGGGAUGGAUAUUCUCUGGGAGCAGAGAAGCGCCCCUCUGGUCCUUUCUGCAUUCACUUAUUUGUUCAACCCAUCCUAGGCCUGGAGGAAAGAGUCCCCUGGCUUCUCCCCCUUCAUGCCCUUUCUCAGCCCUGGGAGGGCUGUGAGCUGUCAGAGCGCCCACUGUUAUGGAAAGGCACCCACUGCCCUGGCUCCUCCUGCUGGUUCUGCCACUGGAGCCUCUUUGGAUCAUGUUUCCUCAUCUGUGAAAUCAGCCUGUUUACUAGUUAAUCUCUAAGGUUGUGCCUCAGCCCUAUGACAGUAAUUCAGACAAGCAUAGACAAUGUGGCUCAGUGUUUACACUGCGUGCCAGGCAUUCUGCUGAGAGCCUUCCUCCUUUAAUCCCCAUGGCAACUCUGUGUGGUUUGAGGCCCUGAGGCUCUGACAUACUAGCUACCUCGGCCCCAGGGAAUGUAACUGGUAAGUGGCAGAACUGGAGUGAGCCCAUGUCUGUGAUUUUGUAGCCUACAUGUUGAUUUGUUUUCUUAGUCAGGUUGUUGUAACAAAACCCAUUGACGUGAUGGUUUAAACAACAAACAUUUAUUUCUCACAGUUUGGAGGCUGGGAAGUCCAAGAUCAAGAUGCCCACAGAGUCCGUGUCUGCCGAGAUCUCUCUUCCCGGUUUACAGAUGGCCGCCUUCUUGCUGUGUCCUCCCACAGCUGACAGAGAGAGAGAAAGAGAGGGAGAGAGAAAGAGUUCUAGUAUCUUUCUCUUCUUAUAAGGACAUUAAUUCCAUCAUGAGGACCGUACCCUCAUGAACUCAUUAAAUCUAGUCCUGUCCCAAAGGCCCUACCUCCCAAUACCACCACAUUGUGGUGUUAGGGCUUUGAUAUAUGAAUUUUGGAGGGACACAAACGUUCAUUCCGUAACAGACAUUAUGCAAUCUUGCCUCCUUCCAUGAUGUGGAGAGAGUGUGGGUGAGACUUGAGUCACCCUUAGAACCAGUAGGAGGGCACUCUGCUCUCCACCUCCAGCACUGGGCAGAGAGGGAGUAAUCAGGGGGCCUGCUAGCAGAACUCUGGAAGCUGGUGAACAGAGAUCCUAUGUAAUGUUUAUGAAAACAGAUACUUGUUAGAGACAAGCUACUGCCUGGGAGUAUCUGUGACAAUUUGUGAACAUCCAACCAUUCAUUCCACAAGUAUCUUUUAAACACCUACACUCUUUUAAGGGGCUGGGAAUGCAGUGGUGAACAAGACAGGGAGCUUACAUUUCAGUAGGGUAAAAAGACAUCAACUAAUCCCACAAAUAAAUGGGUCAUUGAAAAUUGUGUUAAAUACGAGGAAAGACUAUGCAGAGUACUGUGGAGUGUACAUACUGGUGGCCAGAUCUUGUCCUGGGCGAAGAUGUGGUCAUUGAAGAUCUCCCUGAGGAAGUGGUUGCAGAGCAGAGAUCUCAAGGGUCUGAAGGCUCUAGGGAACUGUGUGACUGUAACCUAGAGGGCAGGGGUGAGGGGUGCGGAGGGCCAAGUGCUGUAGAGCUUUGCAGGUAACUUAAGUUGGUACUUUAUUCCAAGUACAGUAGAAAACCAUUGCAAGGUUCUAACCAGGAAAGUGAUGUGAGCUGGUCUGCCCUGAAACAAAAUCACUUGGCUGUGGUUUGGAAGAGGCCCUCAUGGGAGCAAGAAAGCUGGUUGGAGGGCUGUGCUUAUCACUUGUGUAGACUGAACAGCUGGCAAUAGCUGGGCUAGAGUUGGCAGUGGAAGUGGAAGGAAGGAUUGGGGGAUAUGUAGAAGGUAAAAUCAGCAACAUGGCAGGGAGUGGCUUGAGUUAGGGCUGAAGGAGGGAAUAAUUGACAUAAAUAGGGAAGGCAAGCUCAUUCAAUAUCCUGAUGCGAUUUUUUAAGAGGUAAUGCCCCUUUCAAAAGCUUCCCAAAAUUUCUAGCUGGGUCAGUUAGGAUAACUUCACUUGUAUGUUAGAGAAAUCCCCCAACUCAGUGGUCAUAAACAGUUAGGAACCAUGUCACAUAACAAGGAAUGCCUUGGUGGCAGGGCUUCUGGGUGGUGGGAUCAGCAUUUCCAGACAUCAGACACCCAGUCACAGUCCCAUUAUGUUCAGGUUCAACUGGCCAGAGUGAGGCACAUCUCCAUCUUGUAAAUCAAUCUCUGCCCAGGCAGUAGGGUUACCAUGACAGCUCAGGAUUUUGCUCUGGACUAGGAAUGGGUCACCUUCCCUGAGGAGCGGAUAAGUGGACCCGAGGUUCUGUUAGGUGAGACUAGAUAUUGGUGUCAUGGACCAAGUCCCAGAUUUUGGAUUUCUUAGACCAAUAAACAUGAUAAAAGGAGUGGGUGAGACAACUGGUGACAGGAUUGCCAACUUUUCAUUUUUACCUGAAGACUUAAAACAAUUACUAUCUACUGUCUCUAUCAUUUCAUCAAAAGGAUAUUUUAAAAGCAAAGAAGAAAGAAAACCUUUUAAGCUUAAAAAAUUUAGCGUUAUAAAAACUUGCUGUUUUUUCUCAUUUCUCUUAUCUGAAAUUUAGAAACCAUUCUCUUGGACCACUAUGAACAACAUAAAACAGAGGUUCUUAGCUGAAUUUGUGGAAUAGAAGUUGGAGCGGCCAUGAACGUAGCAGCGCAGCCUUUGGUGACACAGACGAGUUCAAACAUGUCUGAUGGCUGAGCGGACUGUCGAAGUGUGAGAUUUAGAGUAACUCCUUGUGAUCGCUAACAGAUUGCACCGUGACACGGGUUCUGCACAGUGUGAAUACCUUUGUGGGAAACAGUGACAGUCUGAGAAAUGAGGACCAUUAUUUCUAGAAAGUCACAGAGAGUCACAUGAAGCAAUAGCUGAAUUUCAAGAACAGGACUGUUGAGCAACUGUCUAAUCCCCUGGUCUAUGCAAAGACCCAAUUUAUCUUGAGCUGACAAAGAAAAGGAGGGUAUGAUCAAAACUGUGCACCUGGUUUCUUUACAUUAAUGAAGGGAUGGGACAUAAAAGCCACAAUAACUUCCCUACUAUUGUGGAAAGAUUCUUGAGAAGGGAGUUUUGAAGUCAGGAAGACUGAGAGAGUCUCCCAUGUCUGUCAAUCUAGAAAAUGCAUCCAAGGAAAUGAAGAGCUUUGUGCGUAUGCGGAUGAAGAAAGCUCAGUUUGAAAAAGCCAAGAUACUUCGAAAAUGUGGAUUUGCCGUUUCAUGAAAACUUCUGGAAGCACUCCUGAAGUUUCUUAGCAAGUGCCAAACAAGAAGGCUCACUUUACUGGAGGAAGUUUACCAAAAGCCACACGUACUGGGCAUGAUGAGAAGCAGGGAAAUGACUCUCUAGUCAGAGGAGCUGCUUCCAUGAAGAAUGGUUGACAUAUUUUGAAGUGGAUUAUGGAGGGAUUGGCAGCCCUGCCACUCCCCUCAGCAAGCCACUCAAUGAAACUAUAGACCUCUUUCAACAUAGCUGCCUCCUUGUUUUGUUCAUGAUGACCCUGCUCAUGUCAACAAAGAAUUCUUGUGUUUUGGGGCGCCUGGGUGGCACAGCGGUUGGGCGUCUGCCUUCGGCUCAGGGCGUGAUCCCGGUGUUGUGGGAUCGAGCCCCACAUCAGGCUCCUCCGCUAUGAGCCUGCUUCU
This is a long non-coding RNA of Ailuropoda melanoleuca (giant panda), 13539 nucleotides long. RefSeq lists it as uncharacterized. The transcript is spliced from 13 exons. Lineage: Eukaryota; Metazoa; Chordata; Mammalia; Carnivora; Ursidae. The record is from RefSeq and is a predicted model, not a curated record.